This 2833-nucleotide long non-coding RNA is filed under the name Homo sapiens (human). Its description in RNAcentral is "HSALNT0279700". Lineage: Eukaryota; Metazoa; Chordata; Mammalia; Primates; Hominidae. The record is from RNAcentral.
CCUGUAACCCCAGCUACUCAGGAGGCUGAGGCAGGAGAAUUGCUUGAACCCACGAGGUGGAAGUUGCAGGGAGCCGAGAUCAUGCCACUGUACUCCAGCCUGGGCGACAAGAGUGAACAAAACUCCAUCUCAAAAAAAAAAAAAAAAAGAAAUUUUUGUUUUGUUUUGUUUUGUUUGUUUGAGAUGGAGCCUUGCUCUGUCGCCAGGCUGGAGUGCCGUGGUCCGAUCUUGGCUCCCUGCAACCUCCCCCUCCCGGGUUCAAGCGAUUCUCCUGCCUCAGCCUCCCGAGUAGCACAAGCACGUGCCACCACGCUCAGCUAAUUUUUGUAUUUUUAGUAGAGACGGGGUUUCACCAUGUUGGCCAGGCUGGUCUCUAUCUCUUGACCUCGUGAUCUGCCUGCCUCAGCCUGCCAAAGUGCUGGGAUUACAGGCAUGAGUCACCCCACACCCAGCCGAAAUUUGGUAAACUCAAUCAAGUUUAUUUAUUUAUUUAUUUAUUUUUUUAAUGGGUCGCGCUUUUGGUGUCUUAUUUUCCUAACCCAAAACGAAAAAGACUUUCUCCUCUGUUUUCUUCUGCACAUGUUAUAGAGAUCGCACUUACAUUUGGGUCUCUGAUCCACUUUGAGUUAAUUUUGGUGCAGGGUUUUCCAUUCACGGAACAUGAAGUUGGAUUUCUAAUAGGUCAAUAUAUGAAAAAUUUCCCGCAAAGUUUUUCUUUUCUUUUCUUUUUUUUUUUUUUUUUUGAGACUGUCACCCAGGCUGGAGUACAGUGGUGCAAUCACAGCUCACUGCAGCCUUGACGUCCCAGGCUCUAGAGAUCCUCCCACCUCAGCCUUCCAAGUAGCUGAGACCACAGGUGUGCACCACCACGCUUGCCUGAUUUUAUAUUUUUUGUACAGACGGGGUCCCACUGUGUUGGCCAGGCUCGUCUCGCACUCCUGGGCUUGAGUGAUCCUUCCACCUCGGUGUCCCAAAGUGCUGGGAUGAUAAGCAUGAGCCACUGCACUCGGCCAGUUUCUAGUUUGGAUAUUUGAGUGGACUUCCCAGCCCCCACACAGCAUGCUCAUUUCGUGUAAGAUUGUGAGAGAGUGCGAGGAGAGAAAGAGCAUGCAGCCAGCGUUGGAGCUUCGGAGACAUCCCGGGCAGGAGCUUCCCAGGGUCUCAUUUGUUCUGUCUCAUGGUUGGCACACGAAGGACAGUGAGAGGAAUCUUGGUUUCAGGGGGCCUCAAACCAGACAUUUGAGGAGGUAGGGGAGGCGGUUGCCACUCCGCUCAUUCAGUGCAUCCAGGCUGUCUAACUGGUUAGGCCACUUGCAAAUGUGCAAACCUUAAGUAAAGAAACAGACUCUGGGGUCAGGGGGGAGGUUUGAACUGUAACUAGCGCGUCAUAAAUCCCAGCCCUUAUCUUGAACAAGAGUCAAAGACCGGACUUGAAGGCAUCCCCCAAGAUAAAGGUCUCUGCAUAUUCCCUCAGCUCACAGACCGGCUGCAUACUUGGUAUUUUCAGGGUUAGGUUUGCAACACAUGACUGGGGAAAUGCAUGAAAAGGAAAUGAUGCAAGAAUUCACCGCGGACACCUUUAGGUGAGAAGGAGAUGUGACAAAAAGUCUCUGCCUGGCCAAACCGUAGCCAGGCUCCUGAAGCCCCUCCCAGGCCCGGUGGUGCGUUUCCUUAUAGAAUUAGAUUUCAGCAAAGUACCGGCUAAGUCAGUUUGGCGAGAAGCCACCAUUCUUGAUAUCAUGUUCCUCGUCGUCCACCACCCCUGGUUGAUGUUUAACCCCCUUGGCUGGCUUUAACAAGCCAGGUUGGUUUAGCCAGGACCCGCUUCACCUCUGAUGUUUCCUUUUAGUGCUUUGCCAUCUGUACACCCGCUGCCUGCCCCCGUGGCUGUACAUUCCCACUUGCCCUUGCUGUGUUCAUAUUGGAAGCUGAGCCCAGCCUCUCCUGCACUGUGAACCGCCAUUGCAGUGGUCCCUGUACUUCACACGAUAAGCCUGGAUAAUGUCUUCGUUAUCUUUUUGGUGAUGCUUUCCCAAGUACGAGGUUCGUGCAAAAGUAAUAACUGCAAUUACCAACCUAGUAUCACUGAAUAGUUUUUUCUUUAACAAAGGUUUUGCUCCCGGACGAAUGAACGAGUGCUGGCUGCUUGUUCUUGGGGCUCAACAAUGAGGUGCAGACAGACUGGGGAGAAGGGGAUUUAUUUCUCCAACGGGUUACAGGGAGAAGGUCAGAUUAACUCACCAGGUCAGCUCAAAGUGACAAGUUUUUUCCAGGGUUUCUAUGCAUUUUAAGCUCUAUGCCCACGUGUAGGAUUGCACCUACGAGCGGGAGUAUUUCAUUCGGUUCCUGUCUAAUCUUUAACUAGGGUCUGGGGUCUGGGAAGUUUUCUCUAGACGCUUAAUCUUCAGUGAGCCCUGGUAUGACGUGUUUAACUUGUGCAUCAUCAGAAUUAUAAUAAAGCGUUAGUGGAAAAACUGGUUGCUCCGGCUGCUAAUGGAAGCCUGGCCUGCCACAGUUUGACUCAAAGGGAACCUAACUCUCAAGGAGCCAUAAUCCCAGCACUUUGGGAGGCCAAAGUGGAGGAUUGCUUGUGCCCAGGUGUUGGAGACCAGCCUGGGCGACAUAGGAGACCCCAUCUCUAUACAUAAAAGAAAAAUUAGUCGGGCAUGGUGGCUUGCGUCUCUUGCCUCAGCUACUCUGGAGGUUAAGGCUGGAGGAUCGCUUAAGCCUGGGAGUUGGAGGCUGCAGUGAGCUGUGAUUGUACCACAGCACCCCAGCCUGGGCAACAGAGCGGAACCCUGUCUCCAAAAACAAAACAAAACAAAAUAAAAAA